UGGGUGUGUAGCUUAGAUGGUAGAGCAGUGGCCUCCAAAGCCGCCGGUCGGGGGUUCGAAUCCCUCCGCACUCGU
Molecule: transfer RNA, 75 nt
Filed under: Chlamydia trachomatis
Lineage: Bacteria; Pseudomonadati; Chlamydiota; Chlamydiia; Chlamydiales; Chlamydiaceae
Also listed under: 33 other names
Description: tRNA-Trp(cca)
Rfam family: tRNA
About the family: Transfer RNA (tRNA) molecules are approximately 80 nucleotides in length.
Source: RNAcentral